AGUCUGGCUGGGCACAAAAUAACCCAGCCGCCACACAGCCUUGUAGGUUCAAAACAGGAACUCCUUAAUUCUCCGCACUCCUGCGAAUGAACUCCACGCACAAGGCCUUCUUCUUCUUCUUCCCUACCAACUGGAAAUCCCUCCUCCACAAAUCCCUCCUCAGGCACUUCCCCAACCAACAACUCCCCAGGAAUCCCCUGAGAACUCCAAAGUAGCAGGCCAAAAGGACAGCAGGGGUCUAAUAUACAAUUGAAUACACAGCUUAACAUAACCAUCAUCAUCUCAAUGGCUUGCUGGCAUCACCUCUCAACCACUCUGUUCUGGCAAAAAUGCCAUGUGUCAUCCCUACUUGGCUGUGGCCCUCAACAAGUAUUUUCAUGGUAGCAUCUUGUCCUUUGGUUUGUGCAAAGAAUCGCUGCAGAGGUACUACUUUUUCAUGGUAUAUUCUUGUGAGCACAUUCAAAUAUUUAUAUUAAGUUUUUUAAGUGGUAAGAGAUAGAUAGGGGUCUAGUUUCAUUCUUCCAUAUGUGGCUAGCCAGCACUAUUUAUCAAAAUGAUUAUCCUGGGGCCAGGGUUGUGGCUCAGUGGCAGAGUGCUUGCCUACAUGCAUGAGACACUGGGUUCAAUCACUGGCACCAUAUAAAAAUAAAAACAAAUAAAAUAAAGGUAUUAUGUCCAUCUGCAACUAAAAAAAAAAAGAAAAAAGAAAUGAUUUUUCUUUCUUCAGAGCAUGUUUUUAGCCUCUGUUUUGAAAAUUGUUAUGAUUUGGACAUGAGUUGUCCUUGUGUGAGACAGUGCAAGAAGGUUCAGAGAAAUGAAUGAUCUGACUGUUAAAAGUCUUAACCCAGUUAGUGAUUUAAUCCCCUCAUAGGCAUUAACUGAAUGGUGGCUGUAGUAGUAGGGUAUAGCUGGAGGAGGUGGGAAUCAGGGUGUGGCUUUGGUGUAUAUAUUUUAUCUGGAGAGUUGAGUCUCUCUCUGCCUCCUGGUCACCAUGAUGUGAGCUGCUUCCUUUGGCCACCAUCUCCUGCCAUGAUGUUCAGCCUCACCCCAAGCCCAGAGGAAUGAAGCUGGCCCUCUGUGGACUAAGGCCUCUGAAACUGUGAGGCCUCAAAUAAAUUUUUCCUCCUUUAAAAUUGUUCUGGUUAGGUCCUUUAGUCACAACAGCAAAAAAGCUGACUAAAACAAAAAUCAUUUGGCUUCAAAUGUGAGGGUUUAAUUUUAAGCUCUCUAUUCUGUUCUCUUGCUCUCAGUGUCUGCUUUUCUGCCAGUAUCAUGUUGUUUUUAUUACUACAGCUUUGUGAUAUAUUUUGAAGUCAAGUAGUUUAAUGUCUCCU
This 1334-nucleotide long non-coding RNA is filed under the name Marmota monax (woodchuck). Lineage: Eukaryota; Metazoa; Chordata; Mammalia; Rodentia; Sciuridae. The record is from RNAcentral.